Molecule: non-coding RNA, 666 nt
Organism: Pelobates cultripes (western spadefoot toad)
Lineage: Eukaryota; Metazoa; Chordata; Amphibia; Anura; Pelobatidae
Source: the annotation of a GenBank genome assembly
GUUAUGUUCUGGUUGUGUUUUGGUUCUUUAUCAAAGCUUUUUUUCUGUAUUUUAUUCAAUUUAUCAUUGCCAUGCAUUUUUAUUUUUAUUCUAUUGUUACCAUAUAAUGGCCAACUCUAUGAAAUUGCAGCAGGCAACCCAUUUGAUGUUGUUCUUUAAAGAAACACUCCAAGUACCAUAACCACUACAAGGUGCUGUGGUGGAUGUUUAAGCCACGUUGCAGCAUACCUUUCAAAAGUUUUUUUUUCCAUAUAUUUUUCUUUUACUCCUGUCAACAGUAUUUUCAGUUUACUUCCAAAUUUCCUUUAAAACCUCAGUUUGAAUUUUAAUUGAGUUGUUCUAGUAUCAUAUUUACUGACAGCAUGCAUAAGAGUAGGUAUUAUGCAUACUCUGUAUUCAGCCACUGGAGCCAAAUAAUAAGGUGAGGUCUAUAGAUAGUGUAACAGGAACACAGUGGCCUGUCCUGCUACAUCAUCUGUCCCUUCUCCUCCUGCACCAAGGACCAUCACAGCAAUGAACAGGCAAAUAUCAUCUCCCUCGGCCCGCUCCUUCUGGACGAGUACUGUCCUUCUUCCAGGUAUGUAUCGAUCUCUUUGCCUCCUUUCUACACCAUCUGCUAGGGAGUAGUACAAUCAGAAAGCAGAUAUGCCACUGAUUCCAUGAAAG